RNAcentral lists this long non-coding RNA (1031 nucleotides) under Monodelphis domestica (gray short-tailed opossum). RNAcentral's name for it is "lncRNA (ENSMODG00000044408.1)". Lineage: Eukaryota; Metazoa; Chordata; Mammalia; Didelphimorphia; Didelphidae. The record is from RNAcentral.
UGGAAACUCUGAUUCAUUGUUUUUCACUCUCCCCCUGUUGUUUUCUGACUGUUUGUUCAGCUAUCAGUAAGUGCUUUGAGAAGCCAAGAUAAUUAUGUGAUUGCUUGAGGAACACAGCAGGCUGAGGGCCAACAGUGCUCAGCCCCACGUCCCGACUCUUCAGCAAAACAGGCAGGGGUUAGAGCUAAGCCCUGAUAGGAAACAGUCAUUGAUAGCAAUGAAAAGACGAGGAGGUUAAGUCUUGGAACCAAAGAGCACAUUGAUGGGCCUGGGUACAGGUUCAGGAUGCCAAGGCCCCGGGAACUUACAUUUGUCAUAGGGGUCGUUUCCCAAUUGGGCAGAGUUGAAAAGUUCACAGCCCUAAAACAAAGGGGGAAAAGGAGCAAGUAGACACCUGUGAUCAAAUCUAAGACUGGAAAAUAGCAGUGAUUCCUACCAAAGCCUUGGCAAGCACGUUGUUGGCAAUCUGUUAGAGAGAGAAUUAUAAUGGAAUUCAGAAUGGCUGGACUCCCUAAAAACUGAACCUAUCUGGGCUUUGCCCUCCCUUCGGAGCCCUGAGAACAAGCACCUCUCAUCAAGGCCAUUGAUAAUAGGACCCUUUUCCCCAGCGUGUUCUCCGAGUGUUACCCGAACUUAGCGAUAGAAUUUCCAGAGACAAUGGCGGGACUGUCCAAUCACACAGUAACUCCUUUGAGCCACUCAAGUAAAACCUAUUGGAUUUACCUGGAUGUCACAAAUGGGGUAGGAUCUGUGAGAAGAGACAUGGAAGAUGGAUGCCAGGAGUGGAAGUCAGACAUAUCAUCCAAAAGAAAUGAUGCUUCCUGGAAGAAGAGUGAUAUCCUUGGCCAGAGGUGCAGACAUUGGCCUGGAAAUUGGCAUGGCAACCCAGCCUUCAGCAACCCCCAACCUGAUCAAUCAGUGGCCAUCAACGUGGAAGCAAGACCCUCCACCACCAAAAAGAUUGCAGCUCACUGAAGACGAUGAUGGUUAGCAUUUUUUAGCAAUAAAGUAUUUUUAAUUAAAGUAUUGCA